This 328-nucleotide ribosomal RNA is filed under the name uncultured bacterium. Its description in RNAcentral is "bacterial SSU rRNA". It matches the Rfam family "Bacterial small subunit ribosomal RNA", at positions 29 to 351 of the family's 1533-position model. The record is from RNAcentral.
AACGAACGCUGGCGGCGUGCUUCAUACAUGCAAGUCGUACGAGAACGCUCUCUUCGGAGAGUUAUUAAAGUGGCAAACGGGUGAGUAACACGUGGGAAACUUGCCCCUCGGCGGGGGAUACGCUUUCGAAAGGAAGUCUAAUACCGCAUAACAUUAGAGAAUCACAUGUUUCUCUGAUCAAAGCAGCAAUGCACCGGGGGAUGGUCCCGCGCCUGGAUUAGCUAGUUGGCAGGGUAACGGCCUACCAAGGCGACGAUCAGUAGCCGGCCUGAGAGGGUGAUCGGCCACACUGGGACUGAGAUACGGCCCAGACUCCUACGGGUGGCAG